This 391-nucleotide ribosomal RNA is filed under the name Actinocyclus sp. (in: diatoms). RNAcentral's name for it is "Actinocyclus sp. (in: Bacillariophyta) partial small subunit ribosomal RNA". It matches the Rfam family "Eukaryotic small subunit ribosomal RNA", at positions 582 to 975 of the family's 1831-position model. The record is from RNAcentral. Lineage: Eukaryota; Bacillariophyta; Coscinodiscophyceae; Coscinodiscales; Hemidiscaceae.
AUUCCAGCUCCAAUAGCGUAUAUUAAAGUUGUUGCAGUUAAAAAGCUCGUAGUUGGAUUUCUGGUAGAAGUAGCGACCUUGGGUCUUUGACCUAUGAAGUUGCUAUCUUCAACCAUCCUUGAAGAGAUUUAGUUUGGCAUUAAGUUGUCGAACUAAAGAUAUUCAUCUUUUACUGUGAAAAAAUCAGAACGUUCAAAGUAAGCAUUUAGCUUUGAAUGUAUUAGCAUGGAAUAAUGAAAUAGGACUUAGGUACUACUUUGUUGGUUUAUGCACCUAGGUAAUGAUUAAUAGGGAUAGUUGGGGGUAUUCGUAUUCCAAUGUUAGAGGUGAAAUUCUUGGAAUUUUGGAAGACGAACAACUGCGAAAGCAUUUACCAAGGAUGUUUUCAUUA